CCUAGUCUCUUUCUUUGCUUCUCAGCUUCUCUCUCUUUCUCUUUUUUUUUUUUCGUCUACACAACCAAGCAAAGCAUCACUCAACAACCCUUUUAUUCAAACUUCACUAUUUAUUCUUCUAUGUCGUCUAAAAUUAUGAAAAACUCGAAGAACAAUUUUUUCAGGAUCUGGGUUUUCACUUCCUCGCCUUUUUUCUUCAUGGAAAGCUGAUGGCACAACCGAAGUAUUGAUGAAGAAAAAAACUUAGAGGUGAAUUGGUUGAACUCUGAGGAAUAGUUUGAAUGAUCAAGUUGAAAAUGGCUACAAAUAUGACGACUGAUCAAGGUCCUGAUAGAAAUGGUACUGUGUGGACUAUAGAUCAGAAGCUUGAUCAACCCAUGGACGAAGAGGCUAGAAAGCUUAAAAACAUGUACACAGAAAAGAAGCUUUCAGCAGUAAUGCUUUUGCAACUUGCAUUCCAG
Molecule: long non-coding RNA, 461 nt
Organism: Humulus lupulus (European hop)
Lineage: Eukaryota; Viridiplantae; Streptophyta; Magnoliopsida; Rosales; Cannabaceae
Exons: 3
Source: RefSeq, a predicted model, not a curated record